UUUGGCCUCAAAUCAGGUAGGACUACCCGCUGAACUUAAGCAUAUCAAUAAGCGGAGGAAAAGAAACUAACAAGGAUUCCCCUAGUAACUGCGAGUGAAGAGGGAAAAGCUCAAAUUUGAAAUCUGGCAGUCUACGGCUGUCCGAGUUGUAAUCUAGAGAAGUGUUUUCCGUGCUGGACCGUGUACAAGUCCUUUGGAACAAGGCGUCAUAGAGGGUGAGAAUCCCGUCUACGACACGGACUCCCAGUGCUCUGUGAUACACUCUCAACGAGUCGAGUUGUUUGGGAAUGCAGCUCAAAAUGGGUGGUAAAUUCCAUCUAAAGCUAAAUAUAGGCGAAAGACCGAUAGCGAACAAGUACCGUGAGGGAAAGAUGAAAAGCACUUUGGAAAGAGAGUUAAACAGUACGUGAAAUUGUUGAAAGGGAAACGCUUGAAGUCAGUCGCGUCUUCAGAAACUCAGCCUGGCUUCUGCCUGGUGUACUUUUCUGUUGGACGGGCCAGCAUCAGUUUCGGCCGCCAGAAAAAGGUGGGAGGAAGGUGGCACCUUCGGGUGUGUUAUAGCCUCUCAUCGUAUGUGGUGGCUGGGACUGAGGACCGCAGCACGCCUCUAAUGGCCGGGGUUCGCCCACGUAACGUGCUUAGGAUGCUGGCGUAAUGGCUUUAAACGACCCGUCUUGAAACACGGACCAAGGAGUCUAACAUGCCUGCGAGUAUUUGGGUGGUAAACCCAUAUGCGGAAUGAAAGUGAACAGUUGGGACUUCUGUCAUGGAAGGCACCGACGCCCGGACCAGACCUAUUGUGACGGAUCCGAGGUAGAGCAUGUAUGUUGGGACCCGAAAGAUGGUGAACUAUGCCUGAGUAGGGUGAAGCCAGAGGAAACUCUGGUGGAGGCUCGUAGCGAUUCUGACGUGCAAAUCGAUCGUCGAACUUGGGUAUAGGGGCGAAAGACUAAUCGAA
This 958-nucleotide ribosomal RNA is filed under the name Geastrum pectinatum. RNAcentral describes it as "eukaryotic LSU rRNA". It matches the Rfam family "Eukaryotic large subunit ribosomal RNA", at positions 1 to 939 of the family's 3401-position model. The record is from RNAcentral. Lineage: Eukaryota; Fungi; Basidiomycota; Agaricomycetes; Geastrales; Geastraceae.